CGCCCUCCCCGCUUCGCUCGGCCCGGUCCGGCCCCGCCGCCCCCGCUUCCCCCCGGCCUCGCCCGGCCCGGCCCGGUCCGGUCCGGCCCGAGCGCCGCGGCCCCCGCGCACCUGCGGAGGGGAGAGAGGGCUGAGCGCUGCGCUCAGGCCGCCAUGUCCCGGUGACGCCGCCGCCGCUUCCGGGACGCGAGUUCCGGCCUCCGCGCCGGGGCGGCUGGAGAAAUUGCGGAAUAAAACGGGUUAAAUAUUCCUGCCGGGCCGCGCUGAGGAUUUUAGUAAAAUCAUUCUGGAAAGGACAUUGAGAAGCGGAGAGCACUGCUGCAGUCCGGCAGGAAGGAAAAAAGGGAAAAAAAGAGCCACCUUGGCCGGUGUUUCCGCCCGGUUUCGAACCGGGGACCUUUCGCGUGUUAGGCGAACGUGAUAACCACUACACUACGGAAACGCCGCUGGGAGCGCCUCUGUCAAUUACAUUGGUAAUAUCAUUCUGCCCUGCCCAUCCUGCGGUCCCUCCCCGUCUGUCCCUGCUGUCCCGUUCUGUCCCCACUGUCCCGUUCUGUCUGUCCCCACUGUCCCCUCCUACCCCGCAUCGCAUCUGCCCCUCACGGACCCCACCAAACGCCCCCGGGACCCGCAGCCUCCCCCUGCCUCCUGUCCCCCCGCAGCGCCUGCAGGUCACCCCCAGUGCGGGUCUCUCCAGGUGUGCCAUCCACAGCUGGCACUCUCCUACACCAGGAGUCGGUAGGAACCAGAAACUUCAAGCAGAAGGGGAAUGUUUGGCAUUGCUGGCAGGGCAGGGCUGUGAUGAACCAGCGGACGGGAGAGCUGGGAGCUGGGCACGGAGCGUGCGACACCCGGCAGCGCUGCUCCGCAGGCCUCUGGAUCUGGAGAAUGGGGAAAUGACUUAUCCUCCUGGAUUUUCUAGUGCACCAGGAACUGAAAUAACAAAUCUUGGGAGUAGCUACAGAAGGGAAUGUGGUUUUGUCACUUUUUGCAGAGGGAAACAUGAGCCAAGCUCCAGCUGGUGGAAAGAUACACCCUAUAACCUUCUCCAAGGAGCUGAAGUUGCCUGGAUCGUGAACAGAUUUUUCUUAACACUUCCUGGAAAAGAGCCCAAGAUUACAGCUACCUGAAAGCAAGCAGAGAGAAGCCUGUGUCCAUAGCACACCAGUAAAAAAUACAUUUAGUACAAUUUAUUCCUUCAUAGUCUGUGAAUACAUCCUUCUGAAUAGAUAUAAAAUACUUUUAUAAGAGUCUCU
This 1256-nucleotide transfer RNA is filed under the name Parus major (Great Tit). RNAcentral's name for it is "lncRNA (ENSPMJG00000004861.1)". Lineage: Eukaryota; Metazoa; Chordata; Aves; Passeriformes; Paridae. The record is from RNAcentral.